RNAcentral lists this long non-coding RNA (357 nucleotides) under Solanum tuberosum (potato). Its description in RNAcentral is "long non-coding RNA (STUB_LNC006135)". Lineage: Eukaryota; Viridiplantae; Streptophyta; Magnoliopsida; Solanales; Solanaceae. The record is from RNAcentral.
GUUGGCGGAAGAAGACCCUGCAAUGACAAAACCCUAAUUUGUAAAAGUUUAUAAAAUUAAAUUUUAUACCAAUAUGAACUCGAUCUCAGAUACAUGAACGAGAUGUAAACCAAGAUACAUAAGAAUAAAAAAAAACAAAAAAUUACCUCAAUGAUACAACAUUGUGUUGAAGAAACCUUGAACUUCUUCUGGAUGGUAUUGGUCAUCUGAAAGAAGCUAAUUAAGAACUAACUUGAAGAAAAGAUGUAUGACCAUGACGAUAUAUGGAUAUGUUUUUGUAUAAUGCUAAUUAUCAAGAUUUAGUUUUGAAUUUGGGACAUGCAAACAUGUAUUGAGAGGAUUAAGGAUGAGAUAGAG